AGAGGAGGCCGCUGUGAGCCGGCGACGCGAGGCUGGGGGAGUGGGAGGCAAACCCGCUAACCUGUCGUCGAAUGGCCACUCCCAGUUCUCCGCUCACGAGGGUGGAAAGGCAGAAGGCUUGAAGAGCUGGAAGACAGCUGUUCCUGGAUCACACCAGAAUGGAGAAGCAAGCUCCUCCCACUAGCAGAAAGCCUUUGCUUUCUGUGCCUGGAUUCGGAAGAUUAGUUAAGCACUGGAAGAGGAGGGGGGAAACAACAACUCGUUUUUGCUAUUUCCACCUGUUCCCAUCCUCCACAGUCUCCCAUCCCACCAGCAACACACGUGAGAUAUCUGAUGCCUUCCCAUCAAUAACUCUCACUUAGUAUGGGUAAGCAAAAAAUUUCCAACCAGGGAUGGAAGUUGUGGAGAGAUAGAGUGGGAAAGCUCAAGGAGCAUUGAUAGGGAUCAUUAAUUAAAAAUCUACCAAACAUCUCUUUCUCUCCCUAAUGUGCGAGUUACAAUAACAUCACUCAAAGCAGUUUGCAGCCACAGCUUGAAGAAAUACAGUAACAAUGACAGAAUUAACAUUCACUAUCUUUAUUAACAUUUUUACUUUCUUAAACCUUGUUUCUUUCAAAAGACACUGGCAUAGUCCUGUAUGAAUUAUGUGGAUUUGCCAAGAGAAAAAAAUAAAAUGAUACAACAAAUGG
RNAcentral lists this non-coding RNA (689 nucleotides) under Homo sapiens (human). The record is from RNAcentral. Lineage: Eukaryota; Metazoa; Chordata; Mammalia; Primates; Hominidae.